CCCUUAGAUGUCCUGGGCCGCACGCGUGCUACACUGAAUAGUUCAAUGGGUGAGGUAGUGCGAAAGCAUGACCCAAUCUCUAAAUCUAUUCGUGAUGGGGAUAGAAGCUUGCAAUUAUCCUUCUUGAACGAGGAAUACCUUGUAGGCAUAAGUCAUCAUCUUAUGCCGAAUACGUCCCUGCCCUUUGUACACACCGCCCGUCGCUCCUACCGAUUGAAUGGUCCGGUGAGGCUUUGGGAGAGCUAAAUAGACUGUGCUUCACAGAUUAUUUGGCUUGAACUUAGUCAAACCUUACUAUUUAGAGGAAGGAGAAGUCGUAACA
Molecule: ribosomal RNA, 322 nt
Filed under: uncultured eukaryote
Lineage: Eukaryota
Description: partial 18S ribosomal RNA
Rfam family: Eukaryotic small subunit ribosomal RNA
Source: RNAcentral